CCUCAGCACAGUCAUUGUGUCCAACUACAACUAAAAAAUUUAAAAAAAAAAAAUUAAAUCUGAGUUGUUAAAACACCACAGUACAAAAUGAAAUUACUCAGAAUAAAGUUAAAAAUAUAAGUGUUCUUAUAAUCUAUAAUGUGGCUAAUGAGAUACUAAGAUUUUUUAUCCCUAGUUUUGGUAUAACCUAACAGUGUAUAUUAAUUUAAUUCAAUUUUCAUUUGUGUGCAUUGUGACUGAAUCAGAGAACAAACAUUUCUUCUACACAGACUGACUAGAAAACAUGUAUCACAGAUGCCUUAUCAGCCACUCAUUGUAGCAACAAAUCUCCAUUCAUUAGCUUGUAGGACUACAUGGAAUUGAACUCUGAUUUAUAGAUUAAGAGAAGACUGUGAAGGAAAUAAAAUUGUUGUUUCUUAGAAUAAUGGGUUCUUAGGAAAAUUUGUAAAAUGCCCAGUCUUUUUAGCCAAAUAAAUUUCCAAGCAGUUCUCUUACUAAAAGAAUACCCCAGUCUUGCUCACUGAACUGUAGAAAUUUAUCUUCAUCUUUGUCUUCAUGUUGUGUGGUGCUAACUUGCCUACCUAGCAAAAGCUGUACUGAUUCUGAAUACAGAUACCUGUCUUCCCAGACUUUUACCUAGAAAAGUGAGCGCUUGCCUCCUGUUUCCCAAAAUAAUACCCAAAGGAAAUACCCAGGAACUGAAGUUGCAGCUCUCCUAGGUAUAAAUUAAGCACUUGGGAAGACUUUUUAGUUCUUUUCCAACAGUAAAAUAUGGAGGAUCAGGGUUCUGACGAGUGUUUCAGGCCCUGAAAGCAUCUCCGUUGAUGAAAAAGCAAAGUAAAAAAUGAGGAAAAUGAGGAGGAAAGCCAAGAAAAGAAAAUCCUGCCCAUGUGCAGUAACUUUUUUCCUCACUGGGACUUUAUGGAGGAAAAAGGAAAUAAAUUCCAUUGAAGGUACUAGAAAUGUCAAAAAACCUUAAGCCAAUCUAAAUAUCUGGCAAUGAAGAAUGAAUGCACAUGGUGUGGAUUGUUCUAUUGCAUAGCAUAGAACUUUUGAGAACUCAUAAUUCAGAGCUUCAUAUAGAAACAUACUACAAAAAUGUUGAGAAAAGCAAGUUAUGGAAGGUACACUAGGAUAUUGUGUUUAAAAAUGUGUAAGAUAAUAUAUUUGUUUUUAUCAUUUUAUAUAGAUCAAAUGUAUAAAACUUGUAAUGGACUACAAAGCCAAAUCCAGAUAAUAAAUGUGAGGGGGACAUAAUAAAGAGUGGGAUUUGGGAAUGGCACAGAGAUUCGAUUGCACCUCUGGGAGUUUCUUAAACUGGUUGAUAUGUAUACAGGUGUUCAUUUCAACAUUCUCACUUUUUUAUUAUGCCUAUUUUUCACUUAAAAAUUAUAACUUAGGCUCACAUUUAGAACUUCAUGAAAUAGAUAUAAAACCUGACUUAGGUAGAAAAGUGGCAAAGUUCAUAUCCAUAUACUAAAUUGAAGAGAAAAUUUUCCAAUACCUUUUGAAAAAGUCACUAAAUUCAUAUGUCUUAUAGUGAAUUUUAUCUGUUUCUGUAUUUAGAUAAUUUUCUGUGUUACAGGAAUUAUUCUAGGUGGUAAGAAAAAGUGUAGCAAAAGUUUUAAAAUAGUGUCAAAAAUUUUUAAAAAGACUGAUGAAAUUUCCUUGUAAAGUUGAUAGCAAAAUUUCUUAACCUAUCAAUAACCAAGAAUACUACAUUGUGGC
This 1728-nucleotide long non-coding RNA is filed under the name Marmota monax (woodchuck). Lineage: Eukaryota; Metazoa; Chordata; Mammalia; Rodentia; Sciuridae. The record is from RNAcentral.